Long non-coding RNA from Sapajus apella (tufted capuchin), 112 nucleotides. RefSeq lists it as uncharacterized. The record is from RefSeq and is a predicted model, not a curated record. The transcript has 3 exons. Lineage: Eukaryota; Metazoa; Chordata; Mammalia; Primates; Cebidae.
UUCUAUUCAACACAGUACUGGAAGCUGAGGCAGAGCAAUUUGGCAAGAAAAAGAAAUAAAAGACAUCCAAAUUAGACAGGAAGAAGCAAAAUUAUUUGUUCACAAAUGAUAU